Molecule: ribosomal RNA, 253 nt
Filed under: uncultured bacterium
Lineage: Bacteria
Description: partial 16S ribosomal RNA
Rfam family: Bacterial small subunit ribosomal RNA
Source: RNAcentral
UACGUAGGGGGCAAGCGUUAUCCGGAUUCAUUGGGCGUAAAGAGCGCGUAGGCGGCUUGUUAAGUCAGAUGUGAAAACCGGGGGCUUAACCCGCGGCCUGCAUCUGAAACUGGCAGGCUUGAGUCUGGUAGAGGAAAGUGGAAUUCCCAGUGUAGCGGUGAAAUGCGCAGAUAUUGGGAGGAACACCAGUGGCGAAGGCGGCUUUCUGGGCCACGACUGACGCUGAGGCGCGGAAGCUAGGGGAGCGAUCAGG